UACGAAGGGUGCAAACGUUGCUCGGAAUCAUUGGGCGUAAAGCGCACGUAGGCGGCUUCGCAAGUCGGAUGUGAAAUCCCUCGGCUCAACCGAGGACGUGCAUACGAAACUGCGAAGCUUGAGUACUGAAGAGGAUCGCGGAAUUCCCGGUGUAGAGGUGAAAUUCGUAGAUAUCGGGAGGAACACCCGUGGCGAAGGCGGCUCUCUGGGACGGUACUGACGCUGAGACGCGAAAGCGUGGGGAGCGAACAGG
Molecule: ribosomal RNA, 253 nt
Filed under: uncultured bacterium
Lineage: Bacteria
Description: partial 16S ribosomal RNA
Rfam family: Bacterial small subunit ribosomal RNA
Source: RNAcentral